This 451-nucleotide ribosomal RNA is filed under the name uncultured bacterium. RNAcentral's name for it is "partial 16S ribosomal RNA". It matches the Rfam family "Bacterial small subunit ribosomal RNA", at positions 354 to 796 of the family's 1533-position model. The record is from RNAcentral.
GUGGGGAAUAUUGGACAAUGGGGGGAACCCUGAUCCAGCCAUGCCGCGUGUGUGAAGAAGGCCUUUUGGUUGUAAAGCACUUUAAGUGGGGAGGAGGCUUACCUGGUUAAUACCUGGGCUAAGUGGACGUUACCCACAGAAUAAGCACCGGCUAACUCUGUGCCAGCAGCCGCGGUAAUACAGAGGGUGCGAGCGUUAAUCGGAUUUACUGGGCGUAAAGCGCGCGUAGGUGGUUAAUUAAGUCAAAUGUGAAAUCCCCGAGCUUAACUUGGGAAUUGCAUUCGAUACUGGUUAGCUAGAGUAUGGGAGAGGAUGGUAGAAUUCCAGGUGUAGCGGUGAAAUGCGUAGAGAUCUGGAGGAAUACCGAUGGCGAAGGCAGCCAUCUGGCCUAAUACUGACACUGAGGUGCGAAAGCAUGGGGAGCAAACAGGAUUAGAAACCCGAGUAGUCC